RNAcentral lists this non-coding RNA (253 nucleotides) under uncultured bacterium. Its description in RNAcentral is "partial 16S ribosomal RNA". It matches the Rfam family "Bacterial small subunit ribosomal RNA", at positions 524 to 776 of the family's 1533-position model. RNAcentral also lists the same sequence under 1 other name. The record is from RNAcentral.
UACGGGGGGUGCGAGCGUUGUCCGGAAUCACUGGGCGUAAAGGGCGCGUAGGUGGUCUUGUAAGUCUGUGGUGAAAGCCCGGGGCUCAACCCCGGGUCUGCCGUGGAUACUGCGAGACUUGAGUGCUGUAGAGGCAGGUAGAAUAUCGGGUGUAGCGGUGGAAUGCGUAGAGAUCCGAUAGAAGACCGGUGGCGAAGGCGGCCUGCUGGGCAGUAACUGACACUGAGGCGCGACAGCGUGGGGAGCAAACAGG